Molecule: ribosomal RNA, 379 nt
Filed under: uncultured bacterium
Lineage: Bacteria
Description: partial 16S ribosomal RNA
Rfam family: Bacterial small subunit ribosomal RNA
Source: RNAcentral
CCUACGGGGGGCAGCAGUGGGGGAUAUUGCACAAUGGGGGAAACCCUGAUGCAGCGACGCCGCGUGGGCGAAGAAUUCUUUCGGUAUGUAAAGCCCUAUCAGCAGGGAAGAAGAAAUGACGGUACCUGACUAAGAAGCACCGGCUAAAUACGUGCCAGCAGCCGCGGUAAUACGUAUGGUGCAAGCGUUAUCCGGAUUUACUGGGUGUAAAGGGAGCGCAGGCGGCAGGGCAAGCCUGAUGUGAAAGCCCGCGGCCCAACCGCGGGACUGCAUUGGGAACUGGCGGGCUGGAGUGCCGGAGAGGUAGGCGGAAUUCGUAGUGUAGCGGUGAAAUGCGUAGAUAUUAGGAGGAACACCAGUGGCGAAGGCAGCUUACCAG